Molecule: small nucleolar RNA, 92 nt
Organism: Rosa rugosa (rugosa rose)
Lineage: Eukaryota; Viridiplantae; Streptophyta; Magnoliopsida; Rosales; Rosaceae
Product: small nucleolar RNA Z199
Exons: 1
Source: RefSeq, a predicted model, not a curated record
AAAUCUGUGAUGAGAAUAAUACUGCAACAAUAUGAAUGGAGAUACGCUAUCUCCACCUUCCAUGUUUACUUGUAUUUAAGUCUCUGAUGAUU